Long non-coding RNA from Perca flavescens (yellow perch), 761 nucleotides. RefSeq lists it as uncharacterized. The record is from RefSeq and is a predicted model, not a curated record. The transcript has 5 exons. NCBI's taxonomy places the organism in Eukaryota, Metazoa, Chordata, Actinopteri, Perciformes, Percidae.
CUAGCCUCCAGGUCUUGUGUGAGGAUGAUUUAAUUGGACAACGGGCAUCGAUAGUGUACGAAUCCAACUUGAAACAGCUGGUUACGUUUCUAAGGCUACCUUUUGUGAAGUGCAAUUUCACAAACAAUGUGACACAUCAGGCUUGCCAGGCUUCAGCACCAUUUGAAGUAAAUGUGACUUCAAGAGGCACAGGAACAAUCAUUGAAUGGAUAUGUUCCAAUGGUCACCAUAUAUGGAGGUGGAACUCACGGCCCACACUAAAAUACGGGAUGCAGGCAGGGGACUUUAUGAUGGCUACUAACAUCCUCCUGUCUGGGAAUAACUAUUAUAAAGUGUCCCACCUGUUCAAUUACAUGAACAUGGGCUUUGUGGGAAGGACUCUUUCUUUAACAUUCAAGACACCUACUGCCUAGGAGCAAUCAAGGAAUUCUGGGAGGAAAAGAGAUCUACAGCUAUCAAACGUCUGCAGAAUAAAGAUGGUGUUGUUGUGCUAGCAGAUGGAAGAAUGGACAGUCCAGGACACUGAAGAAAUAUGUACGGAUGCUCACACUCAGAUUGCUUCUCUUAUGAAUCCUAGAUCUGGCAGAUACAAGGACUCUGGAGUACUUCACUCAUGGGAUAUGUGGCAUGGAGCAAAGAAUCUUGCCAAGAAGAUCACUGCAGCAGGACAGCUGUCAGGACAAAAGGUCCUGCUGCAGUGGACAAAAGACAUUGUUAACCACUUCUGGUACUGUUGUAAGACAGCAGAGACGGAAGUGCAA